CAACUCUGGAAAGUCGGGGGAAACUCCGCGCCGAAGGUGUAAGUUCAGUCAGGGGUCCUGAUUGAGCGAGUCUCUCAGGCUUCCGACAGAGGGGCAA
RNAcentral lists this non-coding RNA (97 nucleotides) under uncultured Phyllobacterium sp. RNAcentral's name for it is "Glycine riboswitch". It matches the Rfam family "Glycine riboswitch aptamer". Rfam says of the family: This family represents the bacterial glycine riboswitch. Glycine riboswitches usually consist of two metabolite-binding aptamers domains with similar structures in tandem. Lineage: Bacteria; Pseudomonadati; Pseudomonadota; Alphaproteobacteria; Hyphomicrobiales; Phyllobacteriaceae. The record is from RNAcentral.